RNAcentral lists this transfer RNA (73 nucleotides) under Ipomoea nil (Japanese morning glory). It matches the Rfam family "tRNA". From Rfam's summary of the family: Transfer RNA (tRNA) molecules are approximately 80 nucleotides in length. Their secondary structure includes four short double-helical elements and three loops (D, anti-codon, and T loops). Lineage: Eukaryota; Viridiplantae; Streptophyta; Magnoliopsida; Solanales; Convolvulaceae. The record is from Rfam by way of RNAcentral.
UUCGUUGUAGUCUAGUUGGUUAGGAUACUCGGCUCUCACCUGAGAAACCUGAGUUUAAUUCUCGACAACAGAA